This 400-nucleotide ribosomal RNA is filed under the name uncultured bacterium. RNAcentral's name for it is "bacterial SSU rRNA". It matches the Rfam family "Bacterial small subunit ribosomal RNA", at positions 8 to 417 of the family's 1533-position model. The record is from RNAcentral.
AGAGUUUGAUCCUGGCUCAGGACGAACGCUGGCGGCGUGCUUAACACAUGCAAGUCGAGGGCGUGGGGCAACUCACGACCGGCGAACGGGUGCGUAACACGUGAGCGACCUGCCUUCCCGCGGGGGAUAGCCGGCCCAACGGCCGGGUAAUACCGCAUACGCUCCUUGGGAUACCUGUCCCAGGGAGGAAACUUCCGGGGCGGGGAGAGGGGCUCGCGGCCUAUCAGCUAGUUGGCGGGGUAAUGGCCCACCAAGGCAGUGACGGGUAGCUGGUCUGAGAGGAUGGCCAGCCACAUUGGGACUGAGAGACGGCCCAGACUCCUACGGGAGGCAGCAGUGGGGAAUCUUGCGCAAUGGGAGCAAUCCUGACGCAGCGACGCCGCGUGGGGGAGGAAGGGCU